This 76-nucleotide transfer RNA is filed under the name Micromonospora mirobrigensis. RNAcentral describes it as "tRNA_Met_CAT". It matches the Rfam family "tRNA". Rfam says of the family: Transfer RNA (tRNA) molecules are approximately 80 nucleotides in length. Their secondary structure includes four short double-helical elements and three loops (D, anti-codon, and T loops). Lineage: Bacteria; Bacillati; Actinomycetota; Actinomycetes; Micromonosporales; Micromonosporaceae. The record is from RNAcentral.
GCCGACGUAGCUCAGCGGUAGAGCAUCGGGCUCAUCUCCGCCAGGGCACCCGGAUCGACACCGGGCGUCGGCACCA